AACGAACGCUGGCGGCAGGCUAAACACAUGCAAGUCGAACGCCCCGCAAGGGGAGUGGCAGACGGGUGAGUAACGCGUGGGAAUCUACCCAUCUCUGCGGAAUAGCUCCGGGAAACUGGAAUUAAUACCGCAUACGCCCUACGGGGGAAAGAUUUAUCGGGGAUGGAUGAGCCCGCGUUGGAUUAGCUAGUUGGUGGGGUAAAGGCCUACCAAGGCGACGAUCCAUAGCUGGUCUGAGAGGAUGAUCAGCCACAUUGGGACUGAGACACGGCCCAAACUCCUACGGGAGGCAGCAGUGGGGAAUAUUGGACAAUGGGCGCAAGCCUGAUCCAGCCAUGCCGCGUGAGUGAUGAAGGCCUUAAGGUUGUAAAGCUCUUUCACCGGUGAAGAUAAUGACGGUAACCGGAGAAGAAGCACCGGCUAACUCUGUGCCAGCAGCCGCCGUAA
This 447-nucleotide ribosomal RNA is filed under the name uncultured bacterium. Its description in RNAcentral is "partial 16S ribosomal RNA". It matches the Rfam family "Bacterial small subunit ribosomal RNA", at positions 29 to 523 of the family's 1533-position model. The record is from RNAcentral.